GUGGGGAAUAUUGCGCAAUGGGCGAAAGCCUGACGCAGCGACGCCGCGUGAGGGAUGAAGGUUUUCGGAUCGUAAACCUCUGUCAGAAGGGAAGAAACUACGUUGUGCUAAUCAGCAGCGUACUGACGGUACCUUCAAAGGAAGCACCGGCUAACUCCGUGCCAGCAGCCGCGGUAAUACGGAGGGUGCAAGCGUUAAUCGGAAUUACUGGGCGUAAAGCGCACGUAGGCUGUAGUGUAAGUCAGGGGUGAAAUCCCACGGCUCAACCGUGGAACUGCCUUUGAUACUGCACAACUUGAAUCCGGGAGAGGGUGGCGGAAUUCCAGGUGUAGGAGUGAAAUCCGUAGAUAUCCGGAGGAACACCGGUGGCGAAGGCGGCCACCUGGACAGGUACUGACGCUGAGGCGCGAAAGCGUGGGGAGCAAACAGGAUUAGAAACCCGUGUAGUCC
Molecule: ribosomal RNA, 450 nt
Filed under: uncultured bacterium
Lineage: Bacteria
Description: partial 16S ribosomal RNA
Rfam family: Bacterial small subunit ribosomal RNA
Source: RNAcentral